This 119-nucleotide ribosomal RNA is filed under the name Sinocyclocheilus rhinocerous. Lineage: Eukaryota; Metazoa; Chordata; Actinopteri; Cypriniformes; Cyprinidae. The record is from RNAcentral.
UCCUGCCUGAAUAGAUCACCCUGCAGCCCAAGACUGGUUGCCCACUGAAGCUAAGCAGGGUUGAGCCUGGUCAGUACCUGGAUGGGAGACCUCCUGGGAAAACUAGUUUGCUGCUGGAA